UGCUAGAUUGGGAUGUGAAAUAAGCAUUGAUAUGAAACUUGACAGUGAAGUUUAACGUUUCAAGCCUCGUGGAUGCAUGGAAAAGCGCGUUUGAGUUAAAAGUGAUUGUUGUGCGUACCCCUCACUUCCUACAUGUAAGCUAAUGAAGCUACAGGACGAAAGCCUACUGAGGAACGGGUGAAUGUAAAAUUUACAGUAGGCCCCAGGCUACGCAUGGAGGAAUAAAAACGCUAGCCUAACUGACUGCAGCUAAAAACCCAGUGUUAUUUUGAAGUCUCUGUGAUGGUGGCAUGUAUCAGCAGUCAGCACCAAUGAACAGGCAGAGGAUGUCAGGUCCUAGCAAGCAGACCGCCAGUCGGAGGCUGCCCCCUCUGCCUGCUCACAAGCGGAGCCCGGCCCCCACCAGCCCCCAUGCACCCAGCAAAGGCCACUCUGUCUACCUGGGGCCCAGUCCGCCGAGCCACCGAAUGGAAGGGAAGUAUGCCCAUAUCCAAGGGCAUUAUGGCUACGGGAUUGCCCGCUCAAACCAUGACCGUAUGAUAGUUACAGGGCAGUCAUCCACCCUGAGUAAUGGUAUUGGCCGGCAUCGUGGGAUUCUGUCACAUCCAUCAUUCAGCGAAUCCGUUGAUAUUAUGCCAGAUCACAUUCUCCAAGAGCAGGUGCGGAGCUACCUCAAUGAAAACCCGGCAUUUCUGGAGGAUUACGUGCUAAGUCACGUCGACUAUGACAUACUGGAGAGGUGGACCGGUCAGGUCCGUGCCCAAAAGCACAAAGUCACCUACAGCAGGUCCAGAAGUAUGUCUCGGGAGAACUCUGGGAAAAGUGGCUCAAGCCAGGGCACAGGUCCUCCGUCACCCAAGCCCCAGCACUGGAAGAAAGGCGUAACACUCCACGACAGGAAGAAACUAGUGCAUGAGUUGACCCAGGACUUGCAGCACUACGCCAGCCGGGUUCGCAUCUUGCAGGAAAUGGCAAAGUGUGUGGCUUCUCAGAUCCAGGCAGACGGGUUCACACUCUAUCUGGUGACUGAGAGAGGGACAGAACUGUAUGAAUAUAAUGCGGACCACAAGGGAGAGGAGCCUGGCAUUACCUGGCCCAUAGGAAAAGGCAAAUCCUUGGCAGGUUAUGUCGCCCAUACUCUGCAUACAGUCAAUACGACAGAGAUUCACACGGCUGAUUAUCCAGAGGGUGUGGUGGCAGAUGGUGUGACAGCAAGCACUGUUCUUGCUCUUCCCGUCUUACAAGCAAAUGAGGAUUUAGUAGGAGUGCUAGAAUUCUACCGUGACACUGAUCAAGGGCACGCCUCGUUCACCGAUGAAGCACAGGAAACAGCAAGUGCCUUCCUUGUGUGGGGGAGCAUUGCAGUUCAUUACGCUCAGAUGUGUGUCAGCAUGAGUAAGCAGAGAAAGCUGAAUGACUUCCUCUUGACUGUAACCAAGUCGAUUUUUCAAGACAUUAUCAGCAUGGAUACAGUCAUCAUGAAGAUCAUGAACUUUGCACAGAAGUUGGUGUCAGCGGACCGCGCUUCACUCUUCCUCGUCGACAACAAAACCAGAGAGUUGUAUGCUAGAAUAUUUGAUGUUGGCAACGGUGUUGGAAUGCAAGUUGUAGAAAAUGAACAAAAAGAAAUCAGGUUUUCCAUGGAUAAAGGUGUUGCUGGUUACGUAGCUUCCACUGGGCAAGUUCUUAACAUCCCUGAUGCCUAUCUAGAUGAACGCUUCAACAGGGAUGUUGAUCAACAGACCGGCUACGUUACUAAGACUAUUCUGUGUAUGCCGAUAUACAACAGAGGAAAUGUGAUCGGUGUGGUGCAGAUGGUGAACAAGAAACAAGGAUACUUUACCAAAGUUGAUGAACAAGCCUUUGAGACCUUCGCUGUAUUCUGUGGUUUGGCUCUGCAUCAUGCCAAGCUUUAUGAUAAAAUCCAUCGAUCGGAGCAGAAACACAAAGUUGCCCUGGAAGUGUUGAGCUACCAUAGUCAGUGCUAUGAAGAAGAUCUGGAGAACUUGAAAAAAGUUGCAUUGCCAGACCCCAUGCCUCAACUUGCAAGGUAUGACUUCUCCCCAUGGGGAUUGGAUGAAGAAGCCAAGCCACUCUACGUGCUGUGCAUGUUCCAGGAUAUGUUCACUCUGAACGGCAAUGAUGAUGACAACUCGCAGAGCUUUGAUUAUGAAGACUUGUGUCGGUUUAUCCUGACUGUGCGUAAGAACUACAGAAAGGUUCCUUACCACAAUUGGACACAUGCAUUCUCAGUCGCUCAUAGUGUCUACACCAUCAUUAAGACCUGCCAAGAAGAAGUUUUCACCCCCGUUGAGUGUCUGGCCCUGUUUGUGGCCUGUCUGUGCCACGACCUGGAUCACCGGGGCAAGAACAACUCCUUCAUGGUCAACAACGCCACGCCCUUAGCAGCGGUGUAUUCCACAUCUACCAUGGAGCAUCAUCACUUCAACAUGACCAUCACCAUUCUUCAGAAUGAUGGACACAAUAUCUUCAAGCACCUGACGUCAGACGAGUACAAGCAAGUACUGAGUGACAUACGACAUGCCAUCCUCGCCACCGAUCUGGCCCUGUUCUUUGGGAACAAGGCCAAACUGAAGGCCAUAGUGGAGGCGGGCCAGUUCUCAUGGGAAAACCAGGAGCACAGAAAGCUGUUGAAGGCUAUUGCAAUGACGGCCUGCGACCUGUGUGCAGUUUGUAAACCGUUUGAUAUUCAGCGGCAGGUGGCCAGUGAGUGCUUCGAGGAAUUUUACACCCAGGGUGAUGAAGAGAAAGCCCAGGGUCGUAAUCCAAUUCCCAUGAUGGACCGCUCCAAGUCACAUGAACUGCCAACCAAUCAGGUUUCCUUUAUUGUUGGCAUCUGCCUUCCAUGCUAUGAUCUUCUCAGCCAACUUGUUCCAAAUGCCAAGCCAAUGUACGACGGAGCAGCGAGGAAUUUGCAGAACUGGUCAGCCAUUGUCGCCAAGCAGAAGGCAGAAGAAGAAGAAAAGUUGAAACAGGAGGAGAAUGCCAAGCAUGAGGAUAAACGCCAAGAUGGGGAUCAAAGAGAACCGGACACACCCGCCUCCACAACGGAGAACAAAGACACCACCAAGACAGCAACCACUGCAAAGAAUCACACUGCAAGCACAGAGCAGCCAAAACAGCCUGACCCAAGCAAAGACAACCAGGGUAGGAGACGGACAGCAAACGAUACGAAGCAGAGGUUGACAGGAAAUGAUGGGAAGGAGGCGGUUAUCAAAGCCACCAACAAAGACGGUGAGAAACUUGAGCAGACUCAAGUGCAAAAUCAAGAUGCCAAAGGUACAAGCAGCAGAUCAAGCAUCAAAGCCAAGAAGUCUGUUGAUCCGGAUCAUCAGGCAGAGCAAUAACAUGGACCCAGUGACUUGUAUGAUAGUUGUUAUGUGUGGAAGGUGUUGAUGUGUGUAUACAGUCCACACAUAUCUUGAAGGAUGUUACAGAAUCACAUAUGCUGCUGAAUAUGCAUGCUGAUCACAACUAUGACAAAUGAACUUUUCAGUCAGUAUAUUUAAACAGCAUACUUUUCCUGUUACCUAACAUAAAUACAAGAUUUGCGACAUUAUUCCUUGCAAAGAUGAUGUCUGUUUAAAUGGCACUUUAAAUUGAUUCAUCAAAAUGCCCACACUGUCUCAAAAGUCAGUCAUUUAUGAAGAUUAUCUAUAUCUUGGAUACACUUUUUCAAAGUCUGUUUCAACUGUUAUCAACCUGUUUUGAAAAUAACUUUACCUCCAUGCGUAGAGGUUGUUAAAAUAGCUGUACCUCCAUGUGUAGAGGUUGUUAAAAUAGCCGUACCUCCAUGUGUAGAGGUUGUUAAAAUAGCCGUACCUCCAUGUGUAGAGGUUGUUAAAAUAGCCGUACCUCCAUGUGUAGAGGUUGCUAAAAUAGCUGUACCUCCAUGUGUAGAGGUUGUUAAAAUAGCUAUAUCUCCAUGUGUAGAGGUUGUUAACAGUAUUAGGUAAUCUACUUUUCAAGCAAAAAUCCACUGCCGUAACCCUAGCCGCCUUGGGAUUUGAGCUUUGUACCUUGUAGCCUGAGUGUCAUCCGUUGUUCAACAGAACUUGCAGCUCCAAAACAAUGUCUUACAUAUGUGAGCAUUCAAAUUUUAUUGGGACCCAUGCUCUGGCUCAUAGGAGUCGACUUUAGAAACAGUGGUGUCAUUUUGAGUGCUGAAUCUGCUGAAUGCCUUGAUUGGUCAGUUAGUGUUAACUGAUCAUACUUUGUCAAGUGACCAAAUCAGCUGACCAGGUUUAAGUGUCUACCAGGGAAAGCAUGUCUGAGAGUGUUUCAGACCUGGGAAAUGUGUUUUUCUGUAGUUUUGGGAUGGCAAAUACUGACACAAAUACAAACCAACUUCAGCCGAACUACACAUACGUAGGCUAAACCAGUCUGUUUGGCUCAGCAUGUACAAUAUACACAGGAGUGAUUUAUGUGUGUUGUGUCUUAAACGUCAUUGAGUUAAAGGCCAAAGGCCCAAGAUGUGUCUGUUGAUUGGUCAAAAUCAGGACAAGCAGGCGUCAUCUUGCAAAAUUAAUCAGGAAGUAUGCAGAAGUCGUCUAUUACAUAGACUCAGGACUUUCUGGGAUGCUUGAAAUCCUCCAAGAAACCAAGACACUUCUUUUUGCUGUUGCUUUCACCGUGUGUAAAGCCACGAGAAAUACCCUUCUCAAUCCUGAUAAAAACAUUCAGAUGGAUUUCAAAGGAUGUUGAAGGGAUAGGUUAACCACUUACUACCAGGGAGCCCGGUUUCAGAGACGUUGGUUUAUAUGCAUUGCCGGGGUGCCUGAAAUCGACAAAAGAGCUGGGCCUUGUAACCAAAGACCGUACUCGGAACAAAAGACCGAGCUGCUGGGAAUUGCCAGUAGUUUUUCAGUUGUCAAUAGCGUCAUUGUUUUGACAGAUUACACCACUGUCUGCGGCAUUCAGUGCGAGCGGAUUACCACCGGGGACAAAAGUGCUCCAGUGCUCCAAUGAUGAGUGAUACAGUACCGCUGCGAUGUUGUCUGUCAGAUUAGAGUAGUCACCAGACAGUCAUUUGUGCGGGUUUUAACGUUGAGUAAAUGAAGUUGUGAAUUUGUAAACAAUUUUGAAUUUUUAAACAACAGAAAAAAAUGAAAAAUUACCCAGCCCAGCAGAAUCAACAUGGAUAAAUGGACCCGGCACAAAGUGGUCAACAGUGAGGAAGUAUAGCAAAAUAAGCCAUGUGCACAAGGCGAUAUUUUUAUGCUUGCAACCAAAGUUACCAAUUUGUGACCCACCAUCCCCAAACCAGGCUGAAGUCAGUAUUUAAUGUUGGACAGUUCCUCUCCUUCAGUUUUUUUUUACACUUUCAAGUGAUCCAUGUUAAAUCAAAAUACUGUCUGCAGAAAGCUUCUUACGGGUAG
Molecule: unclassified non-coding RNA, 5399 nt
Organism: Acanthaster planci (crown-of-thorns starfish)
Lineage: Eukaryota; Metazoa; Echinodermata; Asteroidea; Valvatida; Acanthasteridae
Source: RefSeq, a predicted model, not a curated record